UUUUUUUCUGUUUGCUUAAUCACUCUCCACUUCUCCUAUCUUUAUGCAAAAAGAAGCUUCUUGAAAACACCAUAAAAAGGGGAAGCUUCUCAAACUCUCUCUUCCCUCUCUGUACAUAUGAUAUGAGUUUUUGUUUUUGUUUGGUCAGAACUAAAGGGGAAAUCCAAUCCAAGUAGUUUUGCUCCACAAAAGAGAAGAUGGAUGUAAUUGUCAUUUCAUUGCCUUUGGUCAUAUUGGUAUUGAUCGUAGCCGUUGUUUGUUAUCUAUGUGGAAGAUCGUGUUAAUCAAUAAUACACGGAGUAUGAACCCUACGAAGAAGAAGAAGUAGAGAGAGGAAAGACAAAUGUAAUCUUAUUUAGUAAUAAUAUGCAUUGAAAUUGAAAAGUUUAUUUAAGCUUAUUUGAAAGUAAUGAGUUCUGAAAUUUAUUAUAUGUAAGUGAAUUUCUCAACUAAUAUAUAUGAUAUGGAUCAAAGUUAUUGAGUUUUGUCUAA
Nicotiana tabacum (common tobacco) is the source of this 492-nucleotide long non-coding RNA. RefSeq lists it as uncharacterized. The record is from RefSeq and is a predicted model, not a curated record. NCBI's taxonomy places the organism in Eukaryota, Viridiplantae, Streptophyta, Magnoliopsida, Solanales, Solanaceae.